GCCUCCAGACGAUUCCAGCCCCCAACCUUCAAGCAUUCCCAGCUGAGGCCCCAGACAUUGUGGAACAGAGACAAGCUGUCCUUGCUGUGCACUUUCCAAAUCCCUGUUUUGCUAAACUGUGCUGGCCAUCUACCUUCACCACUAAACUAAUCAUCAAUUGCCAACGGAAGGCUACAUAACAGGGGUCUCACACUCAUAUGCCUGUAGGGACAAUGCAGUUAGCAUACAGUAGGGAGGCAGGCUAGGAGUCUAAAGAAAUAAAGAAUAAAUACCAACUGAUGCUGGGCCUCAGUAUCCGGAGGAAAACAGGAUGAGCCAGGACUGUGGUAAACACAGCACACAUGUCUCCUCAAACAGACACAAUCACAAUCACAGGUUUCCUGCAGGAAUAUGGGCCUGCUGCUGCCAGAGCUUUCAACUUUACAGAAGAGCCACAACUACCGAGCCUGCGUGCUACGACUCCUGAAGCCCGCACACCUAGAGCCCGUGCUCUGCAACAAGAGAAGCCACCGCAAUGAAAAGCCCAUGCACCACAACGAAGAGUAGCCCCCCACUCACCACAACUACAGAAAGCCUGUGCUCAACAAUGAAGACCCAA
Kogia breviceps (pygmy sperm whale) is the source of this 598-nucleotide non-coding RNA. The record is from RefSeq and is a predicted model, not a curated record. NCBI's taxonomy places the organism in Eukaryota, Metazoa, Chordata, Mammalia, Artiodactyla, Physeteridae.